Molecule: non-coding RNA, 109 nt
Filed under: Methylobacterium sp.
Lineage: Bacteria; Pseudomonadati; Pseudomonadota; Alphaproteobacteria; Hyphomicrobiales; Methylobacteriaceae
Also listed under: 1 other name
Description: TPP sequence
Rfam family: TPP riboswitch aptamer (THI element)
About the family: Vitamin B(1) in its active form thiamin pyrophosphate (TPP) is an essential coenzyme that is synthesised by coupling of pyrimidine and thiazole moieties in bacteria. The previously detected thiamin-regulatory element, thi box was extended, resulting in a new, highly conserved RNA secondary structure, the THI element, which is widely distributed in eubacteria and also occurs in some archaea.
Source: RNAcentral
AAGCAUUCCGAGGGGGGCUCCGAGUACGGGAGCUGAGAUUGGGCGCGUCGCCCUGACCCUUGAACCUGAUCCGGUUCGUACCGGCGGAGGGACGGGAAUCUCAACGACG